This 253-nucleotide ribosomal RNA is filed under the name uncultured bacterium. Its description in RNAcentral is "partial 16S ribosomal RNA". It matches the Rfam family "Bacterial small subunit ribosomal RNA", at positions 524 to 776 of the family's 1533-position model. The record is from RNAcentral.
UACGUAGGGUGCGAGCGUUGCCCGGAUUUAUUGGGCGUAAAGGGCGCGUAGGCGGUUUCUUAAGUUUGGAGUGACAGUGGGUGGCUUAACUACCCAAGGCCUCUGAAAACUGGGGAACUUGAGGACCAGAGAGGGACAUAGAAUUCCGGGUGGAGUGGUGAAAUGCGUAGAUAUCCGGAGGAAUACCAAAGGCGAAGGCAGUGUCCUGGAGGGUGACUGACGCUGAGGCGCGAAAGCUAGGGGAGCGAACAGG